This 497-nucleotide ribosomal RNA is filed under the name uncultured bacterium. RNAcentral's name for it is "partial 16S ribosomal RNA". It matches the Rfam family "Bacterial small subunit ribosomal RNA", at positions 28 to 507 of the family's 1533-position model. The record is from RNAcentral.
GAUGAACGCUGGCGGCGUGCCUGAUACAUGCAAGUCGAGCGAACAGAUGAGGAGCUUGCUCCUCUGACGUUAGCGGCGGACGGGUGAGUAACACGUGGAUAACCUACCUAUAAGACUGGGAUAACUUCGGGAAACCGGAGCUAAUACCGGAUAAUAUAUUGAACCGCAUGGUUCAAUAGUGAAAGACGGUUUUGCUGUCACUUAUAGAUGGAUCCGCGCCGCAUUAGCUAGUUGGUAAGGUAACGGCUUACCAAGGCAACGAUGCGUAGCCGACCUGAGAGGGUGAUCGGCCACACUGGAACUGAGACACGGUCCAGACUCCUACGGGAGGCAGCAGUAGGGAAUCUUCCGCAAUGGGCGAAAGCCCGACGGAGCAACGCCGCGUGAGUGAUGAAGGUCUUCGGAUCGUAAAACUCUGUUAUUAGGGAAGAACAAAUGUGUAAGUAACUAUGCACGUCUUGACGGUACCUAAUCAGAAAGCCACGGCUAACUACGUG